Molecule: ribosomal RNA, 29 nt
Filed under: Neoaquastroma krabiense
Lineage: Eukaryota; Fungi; Ascomycota; Dothideomycetes; Pleosporales
Description: partial 28S ribosomal RNA
Source: RNAcentral
CACUUUUGACCUCGGAUCAGGUAGGGAUA